AUUGAACGCUGGCGGCAGGCCUAACACAUGCAAGUCGAGCGAGCGGCGGACGGGUGAGUAAUGUAUGGGGAUCUGCCCGAUAGAGGGGGAUAACUACUGGAAACGGUGGCUAAUACCGCAUACUAUCGUAUGAACCCCUAUGGGAUUAGCUAGUCGGUGGGGUAAAGGCUCACCUAGGCGACGAUCUCUAGCUGGUCUGAGAGGAUGAUGAGACAAACUGGAAAUGAGAAACGGCCCAGACUCCGACGGGAGGCAGCAGUGGGGAAGAUUGCACAAUGGGCGAAAGCCUGAUGCAGCCAUGCCGCGUGUAUGAAGAAGGCCGUAGGGUUGUAAAGUACGUUCAGCGGGGAGGCGUUACCCGCAGAAGAAGCACCGGCUAACUCCGUGCCAGCAGCCGCGGUAAUAC
Molecule: ribosomal RNA, 406 nt
Filed under: uncultured bacterium
Lineage: Bacteria
Description: partial 16S ribosomal RNA
Rfam family: Bacterial small subunit ribosomal RNA
Source: RNAcentral